UGAUCUGAAGUCAAGUGGGAGUACCCGCUGAACUUAAGCAUAUCAAUAAGCGGAGGA
RNAcentral lists this ribosomal RNA (57 nucleotides) under Rhizopus reflexus. Its description in RNAcentral is "Rhizopus stolonifer var. reflexus partial 28S ribosomal RNA". It matches the Rfam family "Eukaryotic large subunit ribosomal RNA", at positions 1 to 57 of the family's 3401-position model. The record is from RNAcentral. Lineage: Eukaryota; Fungi; Mucoromycota; Mucoromycetes; Mucorales; Rhizopodaceae.